CGGCAGACCGACACGCACGCGCGCUCCGACUUCAGGACGGAAUCCAAGCGUCCGCUGGCCCGGCACGUGUGCCGCUGCACGCGCGCGCCGCUGCACGCGGCCGCCGCGGCGUGCUGGUCGCGCGCACGCGCGCUCGCGCGCCACCUGGCUGCACUCCAGCACCUGUACCACGUCUGGCGACCCAGGAUUAACGCCAAGCUGUUUCUGGCCUUCUAAGCGGUCGCUCCCUCACUGCGCUGCAGCACUUAUACCACGAAAGUUUAAAACCCAUAUUAAACUAUUUCUGUCCUUAUAAGGGUGGAGUUGUCGCUCGAGCGGAGCGUGCGGUGCAGCGUUUAGCGAUCCAGCUGGCUUAGCCAAGGUGGCAAUCGCUAUCGCUUCAACGACGAAACGUUUUGUAUCUCUCUAUCACUCUUCCAUAUUAGUGGGACAGUGACAGUUCCGUUUCGAUCGCUACGUAGCGUAAGCGAUUGGCAUGUUGACUACGCGGCCAGGCUUAAUACCAAGCAGUUUGUUGCCUUGUCUUGCUGCUUUAUUUGGUUUAUGAAAGAUUCAAAUUCAAUAUAAUUAUAUACACGGUCAAUAUACACGGAGUGUACAACGUACGUGGUCUUACGCGGUUCAACAAAUGCAAACGUACACAUCAGUGCACGCUGCUCUGACGCUUGACGCUCCGCUACGCUCGCCUUGAGGCCACUUUUCUAAGUUACGUCGCUUCUUUCGUGUCCACAAAUAAACGGUUUAGCAUGCUGUUACAUUGCUACUAUUUUUGUUUUUACCUACAUUCUGAUUCUAUCUAUCUCAGAUACUAAAAUGACCAGUCAGUCUACUAAUUGUAGUGCAUAAUUAUUUUCCAUCGUAUUUUCACGGAAACUUACGAACGUGCCUUGCUAUCAGCCAGUCUCCGUACAGAAAGUACCGAGGUUGACUGAAGUAGCACGACAAACACGAACGUUUCCGAGAAAAUACGAUGGAAAACAUUUAUGCACUACAUCUGUAGCUUGCUGCAGAAAAACGUGCGUCCGAUUCUGUUCAACAACUUGUUAUAGUUUUGAUCUACUUUUUUGUGUAUUGUAUUCUGAUUCGACUUUUAAGAGGGCUCACGCUAGUGCAUGCGAAAAGAAGUGAAAGUCAUGCGAGAGAUACGCGACAAUCACCAAAACGAUAGGCAAGGUUGUGUCAAAACCAGAACAUACUUUUAGUGAGGUUAAUAAAAAACAACUCAACAAUUCGACACUACUUUGAAAAAAUCUCGUAUCUCACUGUUAUGUAUAGUUUGUUUUUUUAGCACUAGAAAGAACUUCGCAGAAGUAAGGUUGUGGUUCCUAAUCCGACAAUUAUAGCGGUAAUAAUUUGAAGUAAAUUAUAAGUAUUUACCAUGCUACAUUAGAUAAUUCAAUAACUAUUAACAAUUAAAGAGCCUGAUAAAAACUGCACGCUUGCUUCUGUGGAGUUCUUUCUAAUGCUAAAAAAAACGAACUAUAAGACAUUCUAGUCCUUAUUUUCAACCUAUUUUCAUUUCUUGUCUGACCAAAAUAGUACAGCAUUCUUACUAAGCAGAAAAAACAGAGUAAUGCCUCAUGUUUGGGGGUUUAAAAAUAUUAAUUUUAGGAAAGCGCGCGUAAAAUAGUAAUAUUAAGGUUUAUUGAAUUAUUAUUUUUUAAGUCGUUAAUAUUUAUUUAUCCGAAAUGUUUUAUAUUUAGUUUGAAAUUAAUAGUGACAAGUAUUAGUGAGUUGGAUUAGCAAUAUUGAGUAUUUUAUAGAUAAUUCGAAUACCCAUAGAAAUAUGUUGAAAAACUGACCGCGAUAUAUUUUAGUCAAACAUAAAUGCCAUACUAGUUAAUAACAUAGUACAGAAUCCUUAGUAUUUAGGGACUAGUGAAACUUAAUCGAAGUAGGCAUAAAAUUAAUACUUGGAUUAAUUUAUUAUUUCAGUAGGAAUGAUAUUUUAUUUUUAUAGGAAUUACAACAUGUUACGUUUACCCCAAAAUUAAAGUAAUCGAGUUUCGGAGCCGCGACCGAGAGAGGGCGUAAGUAACUCAACUAUACUUGGUCAAGCAGAUCUUGUCAGUAGAUAAAGGUGGCAAAUUUGAAAAAUGUAGGCACGAAGGGAAAUCGCUUCAUAGAAAAUUUGAAUUUCGCGCCUUUUUCUACUGACAAGAUUUGCUUGACCAUCUAUAUUUACCUCGCUUUCGAAAGAGAUAGACGAGUUUAUGGCGAGAUGGGGGCUGUUUUUGGGACAUAUCCCGUCUCACUCUCACUUGUAACUGCGUCCAUCUCGGCCAGCCGACGGCCGCCGAGCCACCAGCAACAGGGUAGAGCUCCAAAGAGCAACUGGGUACCGCUUAUAGUCUAGCAAACCAAUUUUAACAGUUUUUUAACUUCUAGCCGCCCAUACGUCAAACCUUGCCAAGCAAAAUGAAUUUUUAUUUAGUCAACACAAAGUUCAAAUUAGAAUGGAACAGGAGACCUUUUUAUAGGUCUCUGGGCGGCUAGAGGUUAAAGGCGACAAAGUAAAAUGUUGGCGCGAAUAGUCGAAAUUCCAGUCGGUUGAACUUCAAAAUGGCGAAGUAAUCUUGAAAGGCGUUUAUUUCUGUGGUAAACACCCGGCAACCCAUAGUGGCUUUUUGUAAAAUCCAGCUGUCACUUUACUAAAAGCAAUUUUAAACAAACAUACCGAACAACUUUCUCAACGAGCAUUUUAGAAUUGGCCGUCAUCAAAAAUGGACGCCAUUUUGAAAAGAUGUCAUUUUAAAGUAGACACAUAGUCUAAUAAAACAUGGUCUUCUCUUCCCAGAGUGACACAGGCCUACGUCACACUAACAUGGCCGCUAUAUAUAGCGCUAUCGCAUAUUAUCAUAUAGCGCUGUCGCAUGAUGACGUAGUCUUGUGUCAGUCAGGUGACCUAGAAAAGACGGGAAGAGAGUACCAGGCGGAGUAUAUUAUUAUACCAUGAGUAGACAAAUAAAAAAGUUGGUAAUCAAACUUAAAAGGUGAAAGCUUUUAUUAAAUUUUUAUUUGCGCCUUUUCAUUUUACUGAGAAAUUGGUUUGCCAGACUAUAUUUUACUAAAAUUUACAAAAUUUUUGGAUGUGCUUACCACGAGAACUAUAUUUUUGAAAAGUGAAUCAUUUUAAAUUGCGUUCAGGCUUCUGUCCAAUUUCAUAAGAGUUUUUAACAGUUGAAUUAAAAUGGGAGCACUGCCUCUUGUAUUUUAAAUGAAUUAAUGAUAUUAUUAGUGACUUACUGCAACUACUUAAAUAUACACUGACACACCGAUGUUUUUAACUAAAAUUAACUAUUUAAAAAUAUAUAUUGUAUUAUAUAAUGUUAUUGUAUUGUAUCUUGUCUUUGAAAUUUCAUUUCACAUGACACAUUCUUAUUAAUCACCGUCAUUAAACGGUUGGAUUUGUCGUAGCUAAAUAAAAUAUGACUUUUUAUCCUUUUUAUGAAUAAUCUCAAAACAUGCAUUGUAAGUGCCUAUGAAGGAAUUACAAAAGAAAUCACAAAAUUAGAGUUAGACCAUGAAAUGUCUGCAGCGAUUUCGAUAGCCCACGCAGUGUAAGUGUUAUUUAUAUAUACGUCAUAAUUUCACAGAAGUUUGACGUUGAAAAUAACAGAAGUUGCACCGCGUGGGCUAUCAAAAUCGCUCCGACUUUUCAUGGUCUACCUAACCCUAGUAUAUUUCAAUAUUCUGUUGUUUAUGGGUUCUACAAACGUCGCCGAUAAACGCAUGCGAUUUUUGAUACAUUGCAGCAUUUGAUUGGUCGAUUGAAUUCGUCACUCCUUCUUAGUCAGCGAUUAUCUAAAAUCGCAAGUUAUUUGUUGCGGGGCCUCUGAAGUUAGUUAGGGUAAAGCGGGCAUUACAUUAUACAAUUUGUAGUGCGCUAGCUGAGUUAGCGCACUAAUUUAGUAUAGUGUAAAGACAGUUAGCCAGUUAGAGACCCAAUCUAGUGCAAUCGCAUGUGCUCUGCCGCACUAACGCUAUCUAGCGCACUAGAUCGCAUAGUGUAAAUGGUUUUAGCGCGCUCAGCGCUUACUGUGUAAGGUCAGUUGUCGGCACGCCACCGACGCACUCGAACACGCGUAUGAUGGAUGUUUUAUUGUUUUAGUUAUUGCAUUUCAGUUCAAAAUGACGCAGCCGCAGACUAGGGAAUAGGAAGUACCUACUGCUAAAAUCUUCUUCUUCAAUCAUGAACUUUAUAAAGACAUGCCAUUUUUAUGGGAUAAAAAACAUAAAGAUUACAAAUACAAAGACAUUAGAAAUUAUGGUAACAAAGUGCUUCUCGAAAUGUACAAAGAAUUCGACUGAAACGCGACCUUCGACCGAAACGCGACGUUCGAUUCGAACGAUGAUCACUGCUGAAAUGAAAAUAAGACACUAACUAGCGUCGCUAGCUAGUGUAGUGUAAUGAACAAGCUCUUUUUUAUCUCGCCGAGCAACACUUAAUUAGCGCUCUGCAAAUUGUAUAAUGUAAUGCCCGCUUAAGAGAAAUAAUGAUUUAGAAAAAAAUAAGUACCUAUUGCAAUUUUUAAUAAAACAACUUGUAAGUUGCGAAUAAAUAUUUCUAAUCGUUUUCUAAAAUGUUACGAAAUUAAAUGCUUAUUUUAUCCUAAACUGUAAAUCGUAAUUAGAUUCCAAAAAAACUAAGAUAAUGUUGCCACUGCAAUAAUUUGUUUGUAAAAUAGUAAAUUCCUUUUUAUGAAUAAACACGCUAAGAUAAUUUAUUUAUUGGUAAUUUUACUCCUAUUAUUUAAAAAAAAGUACUUUAUCUUACUUAUUUUUACAUAAAUACGAGACGCGCUAGUAAAAAGUGGCAACAUUUUUUGCAAUCUAAUUAUGAUUUUCAGUUUAGAAAUAAUAAACCAUGUUAUUCUUUCUCUAACUGACAUAAUAGUACCUAUAAUUAUAUAAGUUUUAAAAUUUUAAUAUAUGUUGAUAUUGCCAUGUAAAAGUCUAAACAAGUGUAUCAAGACUAUUAUUUACUAAAUAUCAAUAAUAAUUUUAAACAUCAAGCAAUCGUAAAGUAAUAAUAUGCAAAUUUAAUCAUAUCAGUCGUAUUUUGGCUUUUUAGGUGUAUUUUAACAUGUUUUAUGGUGGAAUAAAUGGGUAUGACUGGUAGGAUUCUAAAAAGUAUGCCUCGGGAGCUCAAAACUAGCACAUGAUGACGAAUAAUCAUAUACAAAAUGAUGAAUAAUUAGUUUACGAUUGACAAUGUUAUCUAAAUAAUUGAUACGUUUUAAGAAUUAUAAUUUGCAUUUAUACGUAUUUACACUUAAAAAAAUUGAUAUUAUUUACAACAAUCGGGAUAAGUGCGACUGUGGGGUUAUUGCGUCUAUUUGAAACAUAUUUAAACAGCGGAAUUACAAGAGCUCCCGUCAUGAGUUACUUGGAAAUAACACGUAAGAUUAAGGGCGUUCAGACUAGUCGUUUUCGAGAAAAACGAAAUAGACUCAAUAGGUAAUCCCAUAGUUGAAAUUAACCCAUAUACUUGCUAACCUUGUUAUAAACAUAACUAUGGAAUUGAUUUGGGAAUUUAAUUGUGACAGAAGUUUAUUAGGAAUUGUUAUAUCGACCUUAAUGACCGACACAAAUAUUGUAUCCGCAAAAACUUUCGAUCAUAUAUAUAAAUAAAGCCAGUAAUAUAUCAUCAUUGUCAAGAGGGCGCUGUUAUUCUCACUGUAUAGUGUGAAAAAAAUAGUUCCAGUGAAAUUCCGCAACAUGGCGCGUGAUCAUAUAUUCCUGGUCAGGCUUUACCUACACACAUAAGAAUUAGAAGCAAUUCAUAUUCUGUAUUGCAUUUUGAAUAUUUUAGCGCAGAAGUUCCUAAGUUAAAUAUAACUUAAGGUAUAGUUUGUUUUACACUAAUUUAUGACUUUUUGAGCAUCUUACAGACUUACGGGCAUGAAAAGUAUAAUCGGUAAAGUCAAUCGGUGCAAAUGCAUAGUUAAAACAUAGAGGUCACCUUACGGGUAUCAUGCAAUGUGCACUUAUGAUAUCGACCGAACUGUGCUGUUCGAAGAAAUCUAAUAAUUAUAUUUUAUAAUGCCGAUAACUGGUGCUCGUAAGUCUAUGUAAGCAUUUUAUAUUUCAAUAUAAAAAUGUAUCUUUGCAAUUAUUUUUCUGUAUUUUCACAUGUCACGAAGUCACAGAACGACGUAUCUUUUCUUACAUUAAAAGCAUUUCUGAUAUCUUUAGUGUAGUAGAGUUACAAAUUAUCUUAUGAAUAGUUGAAAUUGAUCUAUUGGUAUUAUUAAUAAAUCAAGAAUUGUUGACUGAUUUGACAAUUUGUAGAUGUGAACAGUUUCUAUAGGACAAUAUGAUUUUCGGUUCGGCUUUUCGGUAACUAUAUAUAGCAUGUUUGUUUUAUAUUGUGGAUGUAAGCGUCUUGGCCGUUCAUAUAUAUAUCGAUGACGACUGUACCUGUACCAGCGUUGGUAUGUAAGUAAUAUGUAUAUUCAAAACUAUUAUUGUCUCUUCUAAAGAUCAGUGUUCAAUGUCUGAACGCAAAAGUCUUCCGAUUUGGUUAGAUUUGUAUUGGGAAUGAAAGACAAAGCAUAUAUUACUGAAUCGCGAUUAGAAAGGGAUUGAGAUAGCUGUCAAUCCAUAUUGAUUUUGACGUAAGUGUAUGGAAAUCUGUUAUUUCUAAUCCCUUUCUGAUCGCGGCAUGAUAAUAUCAGGCAGGGUAGUCGCGGCUAUGGAAAAUAAUCAGUAAAAAUACAUUCGGGGCAGAUAAAAAAGUGCAAGGUGCAUAGGGAUAACUUCGGCAAUGCGGUAAUUUUGAAUUUCGCUAAAUUCUCCUUAAAUAGAAGCACUUCAUUGGCAAUACUCACGCUACUACAACGCUUGUAAUUGCUUGCAAUAGUAGAAAGUUCUUCUAGUUAAAGAUAUUAGCGAUUUUCGAAAUUAUCCCACUUUCGAAGUUACCCCACAGCACCUUAUCUUCAGAGGAAUUACCUCAUUCGUUACACUUGCCCCCACUUACCUUACAUUUGGGAAUUAAAUAAUCUGAGAGUUACCGAAAAGUCGUACCUUCUGUAGUAAUAAUUAAAUUAAUUAAAUAAGUAUAUAUUUAGACGACAGUUUUCAUUACUAUCAGUGUUGACGACAUUGGUAAUGUAUGAGUAGCGUGAUAUGAUGUGAAAAGUGUGUGUUAUAUGCAUUUUAGAAAAUUGAAGGAAUGGAAAGAUUCACACGCUUCUGGCAGGCCUCGGUAGCUCGGUUGAUUGGUCGCGAGCUCGAGUCACGCCAGAAGCUGUGAAUUUUGAAAUUUUAGCUUAUAUUUUUUUGAAAAUGUUAGGUUUGGGGCAAGGCAACUUCGGAGAGGAUGAAAUAUUUAAAAAUUAUUUGACCUUGUGAACUGAGAGGCCGAUUGGGGUACAGUUUUAGUGAAAAUUAUUAUAUAGUUUAUAUUUAAAUUUAUUACCGUGUCAAAAUUAUGUGUGUCGAUGGAUUUCCAUAGAGUUGAGAAUGAAUUUUUGUCGUUUUUGCCCCAUGGCAUAAUUAGGAAUGCUCCUUUGCCGCGUAAAACCUUUCAGAAUAAACAAUUUAUAAGAGAAUUAUUUACUAUUAUUUAUUAUUUAGUAUUAUUUACCUAUGUAAUUUAUGAAUGAAACAAUCGGAUUGUUAUUUCUAUUUAUUAUUGAAAUAUUACACACAUUUCACAUGAUUUUACUCAAUAGUAUAGUGAUUUUGUUCUAUUCACAUAUAUAAGUAUUAUUUACUUAUAGCAUAGCGCGUAAUGUAGGACUUUUAGGGUCCAUUUUGAUUUGAAAUACGAAUAGCUAUAGAAUUGCUAAAAAAUAUAAGUAUGAGUUAAUGUUAAAGUAAUGCUUUUAAAUUUUAUUUACCUUUACUAUUGUUUCAUAAAUAUUUGUUAGUGUGGGGUAAGUGCGACUUUUCUCGAAUUACAACGAGAUAUUAAAAGUUAGAGCGACUCAUGAUGGUCUAUGAUGGGAACUAUUUCCUUGCCCGUGUUUUCAAAAAGCGUCAAUAGUAAAAGAGCAAUUUAAAAAGUCGCAAUUACCCCAAGCCAUCACGUAAAUCAUCAUUAAAUUGUUUUUAAUGUUAUUACCUAACUCGAACUGGUUGUACCUAUAUGUUUUGUAUAAAUUCCAUGGGAAUCGAAUGCUCUUUGAUCUUGGAUGAAUAUAUUAUACUUAGACGUGACGUAGGUAUAGUUAUCGGCAGGGAAGUUGUGGUCCGUGAUUAUACUGAGGUAAGACGGUCUUUAACAUGUUAUGUGCGUGACCUCAACUCUAGUGCCGCUGCCGAUACCUGAGGGUCGACCGACAACAUCGAAAAAUCGAGAAACGUUAUCUGCCCCGCUCUCGCUUAAAUAUUCAAGAGCGAUAGAGAGGCAGAUAACAAAAUUCCAAUGUUUGUUUUCACAGUUGAAGAAUCGUGAAGAUUACUCUUCAAAUGUGUAUGUCUAAUAAGUAUAGUUCUUUCGUCUCUCAAACAAUAAUAUUAAAAAAAUAAUGUUUUCUAGAGUGAUUUGGAAAAUUUUAAAUGAAAGUUUUAAUGCCUUUUAUAGAGUGAGAAUGGAAUGAAUCUUACAGUGUCCGCCGGGAUAUCCGGUCAAGCAAGUCUGUCAGUAGAAAAAGGCGCGAAAUUCAAAUUUUAUAUGGUACAUUGGUACAUUAACCCUUGGCGCAUACAUUUUUUAAAUUUGCCGCUUUUUUCACUGACUGAAAUGGCUUGACAGAGUAUAAGUACCUACUUACUGUAAAUAAUUACUUAUAAAUUUGUCACUGUGUCGAGACGUCCACGUUACUCUGAUAGUAAACAGUUCUUCAUGUUU
This is a long non-coding RNA of Cydia fagiglandana, 8803 nucleotides long. RefSeq lists it as uncharacterized. The transcript is spliced from 2 exons. The record is from RefSeq and is a predicted model, not a curated record. Lineage: Eukaryota; Metazoa; Arthropoda; Insecta; Lepidoptera; Tortricidae.